AAUUUUUGUUUUGGGGUAUGCACGCGUCCCAAAAACAGUGUUUUAAUCAGUAAUUUCACAAUUGUCGAAAGCUUAUUAUUCCAAAGAUAUUCAUGUAAAUGUCUUCAAACUUUGUAUACUUACUAAUUUGGGGGUGGUCUUUUUAGAGAUUUGGUUCAUUUCUUAAUUCGGGUACUUUUUAACACUCUUCCCCAGUCCACUCAUCAACUUCGGAAAAGCUAAUUGCAACAUCGUAAGCUAUUGUUCUUAUUCAACAUUUUGUAUGCAAAGGAAUUUUCAUAUCUGAGACUUUAAUAAUCGUUGUAACAAUAACUGGCGUUGUUA
Molecule: non-coding RNA, 324 nt
Organism: Paramuricea clavata
Lineage: Eukaryota; Metazoa; Cnidaria; Anthozoa; Malacalcyonacea; Plexauridae
Source: the annotation of a GenBank genome assembly